GACGAACGCUGGCGGCGUGCUUAACACAUGCCAGUCGAACGAAGAGCGAUGGAAGCUUGCUUCUAUCAAUCUUAGUGGCGAACGGGUGAGUAACGCGUAAUCAACCUGCCCUUCAGAGGGGGACAACAGUUGGAAACGACUGCUAAUACCGCAUACGAUCUAAUCUCGGCAUCGAGGAUAGAUGAAAGGUGGCCUCUACAUGUAAGCUAUCACUGAAGGAGGGGAUUGCGUCUGAUUAGCUAGUUGGAGGGGUAACGGCCCACCAAGGCGAUGAUCAGUAGCCGGUCUGAGAGGAUGAACGGCCACAUUGGGACUGAGACACGGCCCAGACUCCUACGGGAGGCAGCAGUGGGGAAUCUUCCGCAAUGGACGAAAGUCUGACGGAGCAACGCCGCGGGAGGGAUGACGGCCUUCGGGUUGUAAAGCUCGGUUAAUCGGGACGAAAGGCCUUCUUGCGAACAGUUAGAAGGAUUGACGGUACCGGAAGAGAAAGCCACGGCUAACUACGUG
Molecule: ribosomal RNA, 510 nt
Filed under: uncultured bacterium
Lineage: Bacteria
Description: partial 16S ribosomal RNA
Rfam family: Bacterial small subunit ribosomal RNA
Source: RNAcentral